RNAcentral lists this ribosomal RNA (253 nucleotides) under uncultured bacterium. Its description in RNAcentral is "partial 16S ribosomal RNA". It matches the Rfam family "Bacterial small subunit ribosomal RNA", at positions 524 to 776 of the family's 1533-position model. The record is from RNAcentral.
UACAGAGGGGGCGAGCGUUAUUCGGAAUUAUUGGGCGUAAAGGGCGCGUAGGCGGCCUUUCAAGUGACGGGUGAAAUCCCUCGGCUUAACCGAGGAACUGCCUGUCAGACUGGAAGGCUUGAGACCGGGAGAGGUGAGUGGAAUUCCCAGUGUAGCGGUGAAAUGCGUAGAUAUUGGGAGGAACACCAGUGGCGAAGGCGGCUCACUGGACCGGUUCUGACGCUGAGGCGCGAAAGCGUGGGGAGCAAACGGG